CCUACGGGAGGCAGCAGUGAGGAAUAUUGGUCAAUGGUCGGGAGACUGAACCAGCCAAGCCGCGUGAGGGAGGAAGGUACAGAGUAUCGUAAACCUCUUUUGUCAGGGAACAAAGACUGGGACGCGUCCCCGGAUGAGUGUACCUGAAGAAAAAGCAUCGGCUAACUCCGUGCCAGCAGCCGCGGUAAUACGGGGGAUGCGAGCGUUAUCCGGAUUUAUUGGGGUUAAGGGGUGCGCGGGCGGUCUGUUAAGUCAGCGGGCAAAGCCCGGGGCUCAACCCCGGCCCGCCGUUGAAACUGGCAGUCUCGAGUUGGAGAGAGGUAUGCGGAAUGCGCGGUGUAGCGGUGAAAUGCGUAGAUAUCGCGCAGAACUCCGGUUGCGAAGGCAGCAUGCCGGCUCCACACUGACGCUGAGGCACGAAAGCGUGGGUAUCGAACAGGAUUAGAUACCCCAGUAGUC
RNAcentral lists this ribosomal RNA (459 nucleotides) under uncultured bacterium. Its description in RNAcentral is "partial 16S ribosomal RNA". It matches the Rfam family "Bacterial small subunit ribosomal RNA", at positions 338 to 795 of the family's 1533-position model. The record is from RNAcentral.